AGCAGCCGCGGUAAUUCCAGCUCCAAUAGCGUAUAUUAAAGUUGUUGCAGUUAAAAAGCUCGUAGUUGAAUUUCGGGAUCAAUAUGUUGGUCGUGCCUUGGUACGUACUGGCAUUAUUGGUUUCUACCUUCUGAAGAACCUCGAUGUCAUUAAUUUGGUGUCUUGGGGAAUCAGGACUGUUACUUUGAAAAAAUUAGAGUGUUUAAAGCAGGCUCACGCUUGAAUACAUUAGCAUGGAAUAAUGAAAUAGGACGUUUGAUUCUAUUUUGUUGGUUUCUAGGAUCGACGUAAUGAUUAAUAGGGAUAGUUGGGGGCAUUAGUAUUCAAUUGUCAGAGGUGAAAUUCUUGGAUUUAUUGAAGACUAACUACUGCGAAAGCAUUUGCCAAGGAUGUUUUCAUUAAUCAAGAACGAAAGUUAGGGGAUCGAAGACGAUCAGAUACCGUCGUAGUCUUAACCAUAAACUAUGCCGACUAGGGAUCGGAUGAUGUUAAUUUUUUAAUGACUCAUUCGGCGCCUUACG
Molecule: ribosomal RNA, 521 nt
Filed under: uncultured Glomeraceae
Lineage: Eukaryota; Fungi; Glomeromycota; Glomeromycetes; Glomerales; Glomeraceae
Description: SSU rRNA
Rfam family: Eukaryotic small subunit ribosomal RNA
Source: RNAcentral